GCCUGAUCUUUUGACCAGAAAGGGAUUAAAAAGUUGCCCAUCCUGAUGGCUGUGCCUGCCGGUUGCAUGGAGCCUCAUUCAGGAUUUCCUGAGCCUCUUGGAUUUACAGUGAUACUCAGCUGCGGGGAGUGGAGGAAGCAUUCUCUGGAAUCACAGACGGCACACGUCUGGAUGCUAAUGAUGGUUUUACGGAUGGCCCCGGCUGAGUGCUUGGCAGAUCCCUGCAGCCUGGAUGCCUGUGGGGUCAGAGGACCGCGGCUUCCUGGGACGGCGGAGGUCUCUGCCCUUAUCUUCAUGCAAAUGUUCAGUUGGGUUGCUGCUAGCCUCACUGAGGGCGCCCCGUGAAACAAUCCUGUCAUACCUCGGAUUUUGGUGCCUUCAGUCUGAAAAAUACACACAUCCAUUUGGUACCCUAGAGGAACUGGAGAAUUGUCUUCCCCUGAAUGAAGCUGGACCAUUCUGGGAUUUGGAGAAAGGGCACUGGCACCCUGGGAGCUGGAGAGAUGCAGCUGGAAGAGCCCGCGCCCGGGGCACGAGGGGUCCCAUGCCAUGUCACGGGCUUGUCCCCAGCUGCCACCGUGCUGAUGGCUUGGCCGCCACUGCUGCUUACUGAGCACACCCGCGUGGGCCCUCGCUGCUGUGCCUUCCGUCGAGGCUCCGGCUGUCUCAUCCCUGAGGGACCCCGGCAUCCCACCUACCCAGGCUCACCAAGACAGGGCCCAUCACCGGUCCUCCGCACUCCUGAGUGUCGCACAGAGCGGGGGUCAGGCCACCUUAGGUUGUUGGGCUAUGGUUUUUGCAGAGUCCUGAGCUCCUGUGAAGAUCUGCUUCUCUCCAGCCUUGGGCUAUCUGCAUUCUUGAACAUCUCCGGGCCCAGAAGGAAAAGAAGAAUGCUGAGCAGCUCAGGGAAUGGCUUGAAUGAAAAGAGGCUCUUCUGCCUGGAAGUCAAAUUCCUCCGUUGGAAAGACUCCAUUUGA
Molecule: long non-coding RNA, 977 nt
Filed under: Canis lupus familiaris (dog)
Lineage: Eukaryota; Metazoa; Chordata; Mammalia; Carnivora; Canidae
Description: lncRNA (ENSCAFG00040017355.1)
Rfam family: Pvt1 oncogene conserved region 5 (bases 349-476)
Source: RNAcentral